Molecule: ribosomal RNA, 484 nt
Filed under: uncultured bacterium
Lineage: Bacteria
Description: partial 16S ribosomal RNA
Rfam family: Bacterial small subunit ribosomal RNA
Source: RNAcentral
AUUGAACGCUGGCGGCAUGCUUUACACAUGCAAGUCGAACGGCAGCGCGGGCUUCGGCCUGGCGGCGAGUGGCGAACGGGUGUGUAAUGCAUCGGAACGUGCCCAGUAGUGGGGGAUAGCCCGGCGAAAGCCGGAUUAAUACCGCAUACGACCUGAGGGUGAAAGCGGGGGACCGAAAGGCCUCGCGCUAUUGGAGCGGCCGAUGUCGGAUUAGCUAGUUGGUGGGGUAAAGGCUUACCAAGGCGACGAUCCGUAGCUGGUCUGAGAGGACGACCAGCCACACUGGGACUGAGACACGGCCCAGACUCCUACGGGAGGCAGCAGUGGGGAAUUUUGGACAAUGGGGGCAACCCUGAUCCAGCCAUGCCGCGUGCGGGAAGAAGGCCUUCGGGUUGUAAACCGCUUUUGUUCGGGAAGAAAUCCUCUGGGCUAAUACCCCGGGGGGAUGACGGUACCGGAAGAAUAAGCACCGGCUAACUACGUG